CGCGAUUCGCCCUUCGGGGUGCAGCAGGCGCGAAAACUUUACAAUGCUGGCAACAGCGAUAAGGGGACCUCGAGUGCCAGGAUACAAUCUUGGCUGUCGCGAUGCCUAAAAAGCAUUGCAUAGCAAGGGCCGGGCAAGACCGGUGCCAGCCGCCGCGGUAACACCGGCGGCUCGAGUGGUAACCGCUAUUAUUGGGUCUAAAGGGUCUGUAGCCGGCCGGAUAAGUCUUUUGGGAAAUCCAGCUGCUCAACAGUUGGGCUUUCAGAAGAUACUGUUCGGCUCGAGACCGGGAGAGGUGAGAGGUACUUCAGGGGUAGGGGUGAAAUCUUGUAAUCCUUGAAGGACCACCAGUGGCGAAGGCGUCUCACCAGAACGGAUCUGACGGCAAGGGACGAAAGCUAGGGGCACGAACCGGAUUAGAUACCCGGGUAGUCCUAGCCGUAAACGAUACUCGCUAGGUGUCAGCCACGGUGCGACCGUGGUUGGUGCCGUAGGGAAGCCGUGAAGCGAGCCAUCUGGGAAGUACGGCCGCAAGGCUGAAACUUAAAGGAAUUGGCGGGGGAGCAC
This 567-nucleotide ribosomal RNA is filed under the name uncultured archaeon. Its description in RNAcentral is "bacterial SSU rRNA". It matches the Rfam family "Archaeal small subunit ribosomal RNA", at positions 312 to 879 of the family's 1478-position model. The record is from RNAcentral.